CCAAUAGCGUAUAUUAAAGUUGUUGCAGUUAAAAAGCUCGUAGUUGAAUUUCGGGAUCAAUAUGUCGGUCGUGCCUUCGGUACGUACUGGCGUUAUUGGUUUCUCCCUUCUGACGAACCACGAUGUCAUUAAUUUGGUGUCAUGGGGAAUCAGGACUGUUACUUUGAAAAAAUUAGAGUGUUUAAAGCAGGCUCCCGCUCGAAUACAUUAGCAUGGAAUAAUGAAAUAGGACGUUUGAUUCUAUUUUGUUGGUUUCUAGGAUCGACGUAAUGAUUAAUAGGGAUAGUUGGGGGCAUUAGUAUUCAAUUGUCAGAGGUGAAAUUCUUGGAUUUAUUGAAGACUAACUACUGCGAAAGCAUUUGCCAAGGAUGUUUUCAUUAAUCAAGAACGAAAGUUAGGGGAUCGAAGACGAUCAGAUACCGUCGUAGUCUUAACCAUAAACUAUGCCGACUAGGGAUCGGAUGAUGUUAAUUUUUUAAUGACUCAUUCGGCGCCUUACG
Molecule: ribosomal RNA, 500 nt
Filed under: uncultured Glomeromycotina
Lineage: Eukaryota; Fungi; Glomeromycota
Description: partial small subunit ribosomal RNA
Rfam family: Eukaryotic small subunit ribosomal RNA
Source: RNAcentral